This is a long non-coding RNA of Thunnus maccoyii (southern bluefin tuna), 1680 nucleotides long. RefSeq lists it as uncharacterized. NCBI's taxonomy places the organism in Eukaryota, Metazoa, Chordata, Actinopteri, Scombriformes, Scombridae. The transcript has 7 exons. The record is from RefSeq and is a predicted model, not a curated record.
CUACUUUAACCAGGUCAAUGAGGCUAUAAAAUGUCUGUUGCAAGACAGCAGUCUACUUAACCUGCACUACAUGCCUUGUACUUGAAGUUUUCUCAGGUGUGAAAAGUUAAACCUGAUUAAGAAAAAAAAAAAGACUGCCAUGGUCAUUUAUCAUCCUUCGUUUGAGAUUCCCCUCUUGUGUAUUGGUUUGGUUCUGUGGAUUUUCUGUUGUCAUUUUGCAAAAAAACACAGAAGAGAGGAAGGCUUGCCCCCAAGGCCUAAUAACUCUCCAUCUGUAUAUGUCAUCCCCAUAUAUGAUGAGGAGCGGGAGGAAGAGGAGGAGGAAGAGGAAGAAAUAAUGGGCAUAUAUGAAGCAUAUUUUCAACCUCCUUACAGAGAACCUCCCAUGUACUGCUCAAGAAAUGUCAGUCCACCUCCUCCAUACAGGCUUGAACCACCAUCCUAUCCAGAUCCCCCACUAUCAUACACAGACCCUCCACCUUACUCAGAGCAACCCUCAUCCUCCUUACCUUUCUCAUCCUCCUCCUCAAACACACUCUAGCCUCUACUGCACUUUUCAUUACAGGACAGGUCACAGCAGCUUUCAGUGCAUAUACAGUAUGUAGUCAUGUGCUUCAUGUGGGACAUAUAGGAUGAGGAGGGUGGCCUGAGGGUUUCCUCAGUGAAACUUUGUCACACUGUCACUAUGAAUGAAUGGCUGUCUGUCUAUGUGUGUUAGCUCUUUGAUAGACUGGUGUAUAUACCUGUAAACAACAACUACAUCCCACAUAUUUUAUUAAGUUGUAUGUGCAUGUGUAAAAUAUGUAUAGAAACUUAUUUUUGUAAUAAUUUAUACUGAUGAAUAAAAAUAAUUUAAGUGAAUCACACUUAAUAAUAAUUUAAAAAGAGUCUGGUUUUGUUGUCUGGAAAGCAAGAUAAAGAUGAGGUUUCAGUCCAUUUCGUGCAACAAAUUCAGGGGGAAACAAAUACCAAUAAAUUGUUUUUACGAUAGAAUUUGUAAGAGUAACGGAACAAGAGUGAAUUCUAACCGACUAACUGUUCAGUGAGUGAAGUAGAUUUCAGACUGAUUGCAUUCAACAUACACACAGGAAAUGUGCAAGACACAGAGCACACCUCAAAGUCCUGUGUCUUUAAAUGAGACAAUAAUGCUGUAAAAGCUCAUCACAUUGUGUACUUCCCUAAGUGACACAUUAUUGCUUCAUAGCGACCCACAUGUCAGGACAGUUUUUCUAUGUUUUGGGACUCUUAAACAAGUAAUGUGAGCAAGUUGACGUAAUUCCAGCCAUGACCAUUGUAGUGAACAUCUUUCAAAUUAUAUUCCCAGUCUUGGUGGUGUCCAUAGCUGUGGUACUCCUCUGCUUCUAUCUGCAUGCAAAGAAGAAAAGAGCAGCGUAUGAUGUCACUAUACCAGCAAUACAACAUGACAGCAGAGUCUCCAUCCAAACCAUUUCUUUGCCUGAAGAUCAGCAAGAAUUGGAGAGACAUUAUGACAUAUUCCCUCCCCGCUACAGCACUGUCGAUCACCCACCACCAUACUCACUGUUUGAUCCGAAGCUGACAAGCAUUUGGCCAGGGGGCUCGCCGCCUGCCUACGAGAUGUAUCCAAUUACGCUGCCUCUGGCACCUCAUCACUGGCUGACACCCACAGGGCCUAUGUAUCCCACUCCAUCAACCUCAAAC